CGCUUGUGAAAGAUAUUCCUGUGCUCAUUGCUAUUGAUCAAGUGAGGCACAAAUCUAAAUCUACCCUUUUUUUGAUUUCUAAUAAAUGACAACUGGUUUACGUUCAGUGAGUAUGAAGAACCAGUGACUGUUCGUUCUACUCCGCCAAUACGUUGCUAGAGAACUUGCAAUGACACUAGGAGUUCCUUCUCCAUCCAUUGUUUUGAGAGAGGGGCAGGUUCCUGUGGCAAGCCGUGGUUCGUGCUUUGUUAUGGGGUCUUUGGGAGGAGAAGAACAAUAGAACCUUAAAGAGGAGUUGAGAGGAGUCCUUGUGACGUCCUUCCUUCAGGCUUAGUUUUUUUUUUUUCUUUGCAGGUAAAAGCUUUUAUUUUAGGUCUAUGAUGCAGGAUGGCAUGAUGGUUGGUGCUUCAAGACUUGCCAGAUGUUCCUCUAGGUGCACGUGUUAAUUUCCCUUGCUAUAGUCUAGAUGAAGCGGCUUCUGUUUUCCAAUUUCCAGUACUACCACAGUUGUCAACUUACUGUCGUUGAGGUGACCCAAGCGCUCGCCUAUGGUGAGAGGCGAGGCAACCUGAGGCCUGUGCGCCUUGUAACCAGCUGGGGCGAGCGACUUCAAUCAGGCACUUGCCCCACUGCACGCAGUGCAAGGCGUUCACCCCCUUGUGAUCAUGCUAAAAUCAAAACAGAAAAAAUAAAGCUUCUCCGUGACUCGAUUAUUAUUGGAAUGAGUAUUGUUCUUGUACGGCAUUGAUAUUUUAUGUAAAUAUGUUUACAUAAACUUAUGAUCUUUAUUUAUUACGUCUCGCUUCGCUGAGGUGUCACUUUGAUGAGUCAAUCAAGGUGCGCUAUUAACUUUGAAAAAACUAGUACAAUUAUGUCCUGAAGUUCUAAAGAUUCACAUAACCUAUCUUUACGUGAUAAUAUUUGAUA
Molecule: long non-coding RNA, 927 nt
Organism: Cucurbita moschata (crookneck pumpkin)
Lineage: Eukaryota; Viridiplantae; Streptophyta; Magnoliopsida; Cucurbitales; Cucurbitaceae
Exons: 5
Source: RefSeq, a predicted model, not a curated record